This 429-nucleotide ribosomal RNA is filed under the name uncultured bacterium. Its description in RNAcentral is "bacterial SSU rRNA". It matches the Rfam family "Bacterial small subunit ribosomal RNA", at positions 355 to 775 of the family's 1533-position model. The record is from RNAcentral.
UGGGGAAUUGUUCGCAAUGGGCGAAAGCCUGACGACGCAACGCCGCGUGGAGGACGAAGAUCUUCGGGUCGUAAACUCCUGUCGAGUGGGAAGAACACCUCCGGGGUGAAUAAUCCGGGAGGCUGACGGUACCACUAAAGGAAGCCCCGGCUAACUCCGUGCCAGCAGCCGCGGUAAUACGGGGGGGGCAAGCGUUGUUCGGAAUUACUGGGCGUAAAGGGCUCGUAGGCGGCCAACUAAGUCAGACGUGAAAUCCCCAGGCUCAACCUGGGAACUGCGUCUGAUACUGGAUGGCUUGAAUUCGGGAGAGGGAUGCAGAAUUCCAGGUGUAGCGGUGAAAUGCGUAGAUAUCUGGAGGAAUACCGGUGGCGAAGGCGGCAUCCUGGACCGACAUUGACGCUGAUGAGCGAAAGCUAGGGGAGCAAACGG